RNAcentral lists this non-coding RNA (99 nucleotides) under Chishuiella changwenlii. Its description in RNAcentral is "Guanine sequence". It matches the Rfam family "Purine riboswitch aptamer". Rfam says of the family: Riboswitches are metabolite binding domains within certain messenger RNAs that serve as precision sensors for their corresponding targets. Allosteric rearrangement of mRNA structure is mediated by ligand binding, and this results in modulation of gene expression. The record is from RNAcentral. Lineage: Bacteria; Pseudomonadati; Bacteroidota; Flavobacteriia; Flavobacteriales; Weeksellaceae.
GUUUUUAAAGUUUACAACAUUUGUAUAGCUCAUAAUAAGGUUGAGCGUCUCUACGGCAGACCAUGAAUAAUUGCCACUACAAAUGAAUUUUUUUCAAUC